UACGGAGGGUGCAAGCGUUACUCGGAAUCACUGGGCGUAAAGCGCGCGCAGGCGGCUAUUUAAGUUGGAUGUGAAAGCCUACGGCUCAACCGUAGAACUGCAUCCAAAACUAUUUAGCUAGAGUGUGGGAGAGGAAGAUGGAAUUAGUUGUGUAGGGGUAAAAUCCGUAGAGAUAACUAGGAAUACCAAAAGCGAAGGCAAUCUUCUGGAACACUACUGACGCUGAGGCGCGAAAGCGUGGGGAGCAAACAGGAUUAGAAACCCUAGUAGUCC
Molecule: ribosomal RNA, 273 nt
Filed under: uncultured bacterium
Lineage: Bacteria
Description: partial 16S ribosomal RNA
Rfam family: Bacterial small subunit ribosomal RNA
Source: RNAcentral